This is an RNA transcript of Larimichthys crocea (large yellow croaker), 1532 nucleotides long. It is a transcript of the gene named CASP-like protein 4A2, with no coding region annotated. Lineage: Eukaryota; Metazoa; Chordata; Actinopteri; Sciaenidae. The record is from RefSeq and is a predicted model, not a curated record. The transcript is spliced from 3 exons.
CUUUCAGUCUUGUUUCGUUAUAGAAUACUUACUAAGAUCCAAAGUGAUCUCAACAAGGGGGAGCAGAAGAAGGCCUUUCUUAAAAAGUAAGAAAUCAGAUUUUAUUUUACAGCUUCUACUGAAUGUCUAAAUCUAACUGAACAUUGCAUAACUUUCAUAUUUGUCCUUUGUGCAGACCCAAAACACCACAGUAUCCAAAACAAGGUAAAGAACCCAAGAUUUGAGUUUAUUUAUGCCUGACAUCAUAAAGCUGUCUUACUUUGGGCCUGACACCGUUUCUUUUUGUGUGUGUUUUUUUUUUACAGUAAUUGUGCAGGAGGAAGACCUGUCAAACUCGGAUGAGUUUGUAAGUAAAAUCAUCAAUUUAAAUUUGUUUGUUUUUUCCUUAUCAUUCUUUUUAUACAUCCAUUGCCAUUCCAACUAUAAAUACUACGAAGUUACGAUACUACGGCUUGUAGAAUGUCACAAAUCACUCUGUUAUGUUGGUUUCAUUUAUACGCCAUGGCUAGUAGGUUGUGCAAAUUCAACACAAAACCAGCGGCAUCACGUGGUGGGUGCUAAUUUCUAACCCUGGCUGCAAAUUUUUUUUAAACUUUGACCACGUUUACAGACUCAAAGUAUUUUAUAAAAAGUAAGUAACAAUGUCUGUCAUUUUGUGGCAAUAACAGAAGGAAUAGUUCACAAAACUGUUGUCCGUGAUCUGAGUUGUGCUCAAUACUUAAUUCACAUGUCUGGGUUGUGUUCAGGAAAGUGGUAGUGACUAUGAGGAUCCACAAGAGGACGGAGAGGACAGCUACAUCUUUGCGACGGAUGAGUCACAAACCACUGAGCAACAACACAGUGAGGAAUCCAGUGAAGAAGAGUGCGAGCAGCCUCCCUUGCCAUCGAGGCCGCGUCUACCCCCAAAAGUGCCUGAAUUACAGGACAGUAGAGAUCCUGUUCACUUUCCUCCCCCUGUUCCUAUUCCUGCUGAAAGGCCCUCAAAACCUCCACCAAGAAUGAGCUUCACCUUACCGAAACCUUUUAAAGCAUCAGCCAGCAAACCCAGUCUGCAUGUUGACAGGACCACGAAGCCGGGAAAACCUAGCCCACCCCAGAGAGACGUAAAAAAAUCAAGUAUGUGCUGUUUAUUAUGUAGUGUUAUAACAGUUGGAAGUUUGUCACAUUUCUGUUUGACAUUAUCCAUCAUGUCCACAAGAGGGCAGCACUGUCAUAGCUCCUGGCUCAUCCACCAGCAAGCCCCCUCAACCAAGACCCCCUAAAGCUACAGAUGUGUCCAGAAGGUAGGCCAGCCUUAAUAAAUAAUGGCUGUAGUCUAGCAAGCCCUUCAGUCUGAGUAAUGCAACAUUUUUAAAAUCACAUUCCAUUUUAUCUCUUCCUGCCCAGAGAGAGUAAACUCAUUCCACCACCUCCAGUGCCAACACAACCUGCUAUGGUUACCAAUCCAACACCAGGACCAAGAGGGGUAAGAAUCACAGCAAUUUCCAUACUAUGAACACACACAAUAUUUAGGUUUCCUGUGCAUACUUAUG